CCUUUGCGACCCCAGUCAGGCGGG
This 24-nucleotide ribosomal RNA is filed under the name Dianthus superbus. RNAcentral describes it as "partial 28S ribosomal RNA". The record is from RNAcentral. RNAcentral also lists the same sequence under 3 other names. Lineage: Eukaryota; Viridiplantae; Streptophyta; Magnoliopsida; Caryophyllales; Caryophyllaceae.